ACGUAGGCAGCAAGCGUUGUUCGGAGUUACUGGGCGUAAAGGGUGCGUAGGCGGCUUUUUAAGUUUGGUGUGAAAUCUCCCGGCUCAACUGGGAGGGUGCGCCGAAUACUGAGAGGCUAGAGUGUGGGAGAGGAAAGUGGAAUUCCUGGUGUAGCGGUGAAAUGCGUAGAUAUCAGGAGGAACACCGGUGGUGUAAACGGCUUUCUGGACCAUAACUGACGCUGAGGCACGAAAGCGUGGGUAGCAAACAGGA
Molecule: ribosomal RNA, 253 nt
Filed under: uncultured prokaryote
Description: partial 16S ribosomal RNA
Rfam family: Bacterial small subunit ribosomal RNA
Source: RNAcentral